UUAGCGAUAAAGGGUGUGAAAAGCACCCUCGCCGAAAGCCCAAGGUUUCCUACGCAACGUUCAUCGGCGUAGGGUGAGUCGGCCCCUAAGGCGAGGCAGAAAUGCGUAGUCGAUGGGAAACAGGUGAAUAUUCCUGUACCGGUUAUUACUGCGAUGGGGGGACGGAAAGGUUAGGCCAGCCAGGCGUUGGAUGUCCUGGUUCAAGCGUGUAGUCGUGGUCUCUAGGCAAAUCCGGAGAUCUUAGAUGAGGCGUGAUAACGAGUCUGCUUGCAGACGAAGUGGUUGAUACCCUGCUUCCAGGAAAAGCCUCUAAGCUUCAGGUAAUAAUCGACCGUACCGCAAACCGACACAGGUGGACAGGUUGAAAAUACCAAGGCGCUUGAGAGAACUCAGGAGAAGGAACUCGGCAAAUUGAUACCGUAACUUCGGGAGAAGGUAUGCCCCGGUAGCUUGUAGUCGUACAGACGAAGGGCGAUGGGGCCGCAGAGAAUCGGUGGCUGCGACUGUUUAAUAAAAACACAGCACUCUGCAAACACGAAAGUGGACGUAUAGGGUGUGACGCCUGCCCGGUGCCGGAAGGUUAAUUGAUGGGGUGCAAGCUCUUGAUCGAAGCCCCGGUAAACGGCGGCCGUAACAAUAACGGUCCUAAGGUAGCGAAAUUCCUUGUCGGGUAAGUUCCGACCUGCACGAAUGGCGUAACGAUGGCCACACUGUCUCCUCCUGAGACUCAGCGAAGUUGAAAUGUUUGUGAAGAUGCAAUCUCCCCGCGGCUAGACGGAAAGACCCCAUGAACCUUUACUGUAGCUUUACAUUGGACUUUGACGGGACUUGUGUAGGAUAGGUGGGAGGCUUUGAAGCCGGGACGCUAGUUCCGGUGGAGCCAACCUUGAAAUACCACCCUGGUGUCGUUGAGGUUCUAACCUUGAUCCGUGAAUCCGGAUCGGGGACCGUGUAUGGUGGGCAGUUUGACUGGGGCGGUCUCCUCCCAAAGAGUAACGGAGGAGUACGAAGGUCUUCUAGGUACGGUCGGACAUCGUACUGAUAGUGCAGUGGCAAAAGAAGGCUUGACUGCGAGACCCACAAGUCGAGCAGGUGCGAAAGCAGGUCAUAGUGAUCCGGUGGUUCUGUAUGGAAGGGCCAUCGCUCAACGCAUAAAAGGUACUCUGGGGAUAACAGGCUGAUUCCGCCCAAGAGUUCACAUCGACGGCGGAGUUUGGCACCUCGAUGUCGGCUCAUCACAUCCUGGGGCUGUAGCCGGUCCCAAGGGUAUGGCUGUUCGCCAUUUAAAGUGGUACGUGAGCUGGGUUUAAAACGUCGUGAGACAGUUUGGUCCCUAUCUGCCGUGGGCGUUGGAAGUUUGAGGGGACCUGCUCCUAGUACGAGAGGACCGGAGUGGACAGAUCUCUGGUGUACCGGUUGUCACGCCAGUGGCAUCGCCGGGUAGCUAAAUCUGGAAGAGAUAACCGCUGAAAGCAUCUAAGCGGGAAACUCGCCUCAAGAUGAGACUUCCCUGGGGAUUCGAUCCCCCUGAAGGGUCGUUCAAGACCAGGACGUUGAUAGGUCAGGUGUGGAAGCCAA
This 1578-nucleotide ribosomal RNA is filed under the name metagenome. RNAcentral's name for it is "bacterial LSU rRNA". It matches the Rfam family "Bacterial large subunit ribosomal RNA", at positions 1306 to 2877 of the family's 2925-position model. The record is from RNAcentral.